Molecule: long non-coding RNA, 2550 nt
Organism: Corapipo altera (White-ruffed manakin)
Lineage: Eukaryota; Metazoa; Chordata; Aves; Passeriformes; Pipridae
Exons: 5
Source: RefSeq, a predicted model, not a curated record
ACAGGGACACUCACGGCGCCGAACUGCCCGUCCCCAGUCCGCGGGGGUCGCGGUGCUCCGCGGGUGGGAGCCGGUCGCGGUGUCUGCCCGCAGCACUGAGCAGUGGACCUGCCUUUGCGCGUGCAUCAUAGAAUCAGAGAAUGGCUUGAGUUGAGAAAGACCCUAAAGAUCAGUCGUGUUGUUCCAACUCCCUGCCGUGGGCAGCAACACCUUCCACCAGACCAGGUUGCUCAGAGCCCCAUCCGACCCGGCCUUGAACGCAGCCAGGGAUGUGGCAUCCACAGUUUCUCUGGGCAGCCUGCGCCAGUCAAGUAUUGGCUUCAAAUGCUGUCAUAGCUAAAGCGGAUGGUGAACUGUGGGACCUGUAUUGUCCACUGGAGGGAGAUUGUACUCUAAAGCUGCUGACCUUUGAUCAUGAAGAAGCAAAAGCUGUUUAUUGACAUUCAAGUGGUCACAUUCUUGGAGAGGCCAUGGAAGGAUAUUUUGGGGGCUGCUUAUGCUAUGGACCAUCAACUGAGAAUGGAUUUUAUUUUGAGAUAUAUAUUGAAGAGGUGUAUCUAGUACUGAACUCCCACUACUAGAGAACCGCUGUAAAAAUAUCAUAAAAGCGAAACAGGCUUUUGAAAAGCUGGAAGUCAACAAGGAGACCCUGUUAGACAUGUUUAAGUAUAACUUUUAACUGUCAUAUGCCUAGUGAGAAGGUGAAGACACCAACUACCACAAUAUACAGGUAAAGAAAUAUGCUUCUAAGAUAUUGUAUUUUUAUAGUUAGUUUAUUUAAAUUGAGACAGGAAUAAAUUGGUUUUUUGUUUUAGGUUUUUUUUAUUUUUAUUCUAACUUCCAAAUUCUUGUGUGAUUGGGACUUAGGUUUGCAAUUAAUAUUGCUACUUUUAUAAAACGAGGUAUUUUCUUUCUCUGCUGGGACAGAUUAGGUCUCAAUUUGUGGACAAAUGGCAAAUCCAGUUUUUAUUCAUUCCCUCUCAUUUCAGUACACUGAUUAAAAUAAGUUACCACCCCAGACAUUGGAUUGGUGCAUAGUGGGUAACACUAACUCUCAGCUUAUUGGGGGGUGAGGAACCUGCUUAUUUAGUUGCUCAUUCCAAUCAGUUGGUUGGAAAAUAGCAGAACCAUUUUUCUGUUUGAUAUGCAUAGUUUGAAAUUUCCUGGUCAGCUUUAACAAAGUUCACAUAUGGAACUAUAUGAGUUGGUGAAUGUGUUAUGAUGGUCUUGAUAAUAGAUCAGCUGUGCUGAGCAUUUACUGAGAGAAUAUUUCACUUCAGGUAGAAGGCUCAGUUACAUUUAAGGAGCAUAUGAAUAUGCUGCACAUUGCAUAUUCAUAUUUACUACCAUGGUGGAAUGUGUCAAGCACGAAUUUGUGCACCAUUAGUGACUGUAUUGAGAAAAUGUUGGAGUAUUUGGAAAUGAACACUUUUUUUCUUUUGGGCAUAUAGAUGUGGUCCACUGAUUAAUCUCUGCGGGGUGAGACACAUUGGAAAAAUUAAGACCCUUAAAAUAGUUAGGGUAAAUUGAAAUUAACUGUGCAUUGAAACUGAAGUAAACAAUGGUACAGUUGAUUUAUUUAUGUAUUUAUUUCUCCUGAGCUGAUUAUGCUAGGAUUCUUUGUAUUGUUUUCUUUGUUUACUCUGAAAAUAAUCCUUCAUUUCUUUCCGAACUCCCAUUUUACAAGUAGAACUGCAGACUUUAAUCAUUCAUCCACGUCCAAGAUUUACUGAUUCUUGACUAUCACAAUCGUACAGCAGUGAAAGUUAAUAGCAUCUUUUUUUGUCAGAGUAUUAGUGUAGUAACAUGCAUGUUUAGACUGAUGAAGAGCACAGCAAGAACACUGUAGCUAGUAGUGACUAGAUUAGCUGUGGAACCAAUUGUCCCAUGCCCAGUAGAGAAGUGCAGUGCCUAAGCCCAUGUGGCAGUGCUGUUCCAGGACCUCUAACCAGCACUGCACCUCAUAGUACGAGUGUCCUGGUUUGAGACUGUACCUGCUGUCACAUCUGUGUGUGUGUGCGCGUGGGGGUGCACACUCUGUUCUGCAGCAAAUGAACAUCCAAGUGUUUAUUGGGUCAGAAUAUACUACUUUGACCUUGUCAGAUGGUAUCUUUCAGGUACAGGAGGUAAAACAGCAGAUCUGCAAGUGCUGCUGUUAAAAGAUGGCAUUGCUUACAGGAAAGGCAGAGACAGGGUUUGCAGAGGCCUUUGUUUUUGUGGUGUAGUUUAAGUUACUCACAGAUGCCAAUUUUGGUAACCAUAUUAGAUCAAUACCUCAUUGGAAUGUUCAUCAUAGUUGCUUUUGCUGGCUUCCUAACUGAAGUGUGUGGAACUCUGAAUUCCAGGGAUUAUGUGUUAGAUUGUCAAAACAACUAAGAAUUAACUGUGAGAGUUAGGUUUGUUGUGUCUUUCGUGUUUCUCUACUGCAGUAUGUUUUGAACGUGCUUUGAACUGCUUUUCUAGCUGCUAUAAUAUGAAAUAAUAAAACAUGCCAUGAUGUGAGUUGAAACAAGGUACCUAAGUAGAAUAAAAAUAUUACUUGACCAGUCA